This is a long non-coding RNA of Suricata suricatta (meerkat), 614 nucleotides long. RefSeq lists it as uncharacterized. The transcript is spliced from 4 exons. Lineage: Eukaryota; Metazoa; Chordata; Mammalia; Carnivora; Herpestidae. The record is from RefSeq and is a predicted model, not a curated record.
AAAAAACGAAAGCUUGGCGCUGCUCUUUAAUCUCUUGUUUCCACCUCUUACGCCACCAUGAUUAGGAUUCACUGUUUUAUUUAGGAAAGCAGUUGCCACCUGCUUUCUUGACAUAAUUUGCGGCUGUAUAUUGCUCAGAGCAAAGGCCAGAACGUUCUAUACCUUACACAUUUGCCAGUUAAAAUUGGGGGUUUGGGGGUAGAAUGUGUGGAAUUUUGCAAUCUGUUGCUUGGCAACUUUAAGGGAGUUAAGCCUCCACAUUCUGUGACCGUCAAGAGUUACAAAGUUUGCCCUCUCACCUCCCAAGAGUUCCAUCUGAUCAGAUGCUAGGCGGGCUCAUCUUGGCAGAAUGAAGCAAGGGGUCAGAUUCUUCUGUGACGACAUGUGCAGGCAGUUACCGGAGCAAACAACUGGCUGAGUCCAAAUGCCGUGGAUUUUCUCUUAAAGCAGGACAGCGUUGACCUGAGUGUAACCAUCCUAACAUUAUGUAUAACUACCUCCUCGUGAAGAGAUAAAAAUGUCAAGAAGCAGUGAGUGUGAUAAAUGAAGAUGAAGGGCAGAUUCAGCUCAUUUUGAAAGCACUGAUUAAAUUCUAAAUUUGCUUUUGUUUUUAA